UUUAGGUCACAGCUUACCUUCAGCAUCCACAGACCUGUCACUUAGCCCUCUCUCUUUGUUUUCUCAUUCAUUCGCAGCAGCAGACAUGCCAAAGACUGGCAGAAACACGGGGACGCACGUCCCGACGGGGUGCUAGGUAGAACGCACCUUGGUGCUGUAAUUUGACCAAUAGAUAAAUUUCAACAAUGUGCACAUGAGACGGAAGCGGAACUAGGAGAACUGGUGAUAAAUUCGAGCUCCGGAAGAAACCGCUUUCCAGUAGGAUUCUGUUCCAGGCUGCAGAGGGAUGUGCUGUUUCUGGAAUUUUCUGGUCAUUGGAUCUGAGACUUCAGUUAUGAAGCUCACACGGUGAGAGGUUUCUUCCAGCACACCCUCUGGCCAUGAUGUACUUACUGUCUCUCCGGAGGCCCCAAGUAUUAGGGCACUCAGUCAUAAGCUGGAACCUUCAAAAGCGUACGCCAAGGAAACCUUUCCUCUUUCCAAGUUAACUGCCUCACAGAUCUGAUUUUAGUGGCAGAGAGUGGACUCAUACAAUCGCCCUACUCCACUUAAAGCCUCAGGAUUUUUACCUAUAAAAUUGAGGAUAUGACUUGCCUAAGGACUUCUGAUGAAGAUCAGUCGUGAUUCUUAGAUGUAAGUACCAAAGGCCACUCCUGGCUCAUAACAAGGAUUGGAUUCCCACUUUCCACCCCAAUUUAUAGUCCUGUUUGCAAAUUUCUGAGGCAGACUGUGUUAAGAUAGUUUCAUUUCCUGAAACCCACAGGACAACAGACUGUGACCAACUGUAACACAGAGCUCGACGUACAGAGCGGAAUGAAGCUCUGUCUAGCAUGCUGGAUGGAGUGGGAGGUCUUACCAGAUUUAGUUAUGAAAAAGAACUUCCUCCUUCAAUAAUUGCUUAACCUCUGCAAAUAGUGUGCUGAGUCCUAGAAUUUAGAAUUCUGUCCAAAUGUGCCUUACCCUGGACCUAUUCUACCAGGUGAAAAUUAACCAAGCUCUUUGAAGGAGACCUUUUACUCCCCACCUUUGUGGUGAAUGGGCACAGUUCUGUGAAGUGGGUAGAAGUAGGAGAGCCACUCCCAGAGCCUCAGUGGUAAGUGAUCAUUGACUUUGAUGGGGCUAAUCCUGUUCUCCCCCCCUGACCUCUUCUAGUUCGUGUAAAUUCAAUGAUCUAUUUGUUAAUGGAAGAGCAUUUUCUCUGCAUUCCACAGAAGGUAUUUAUGAAAAGAACCACAGAGGCCGUCACUUGCCUAACAUGGUCAGACUUUGAACAUCAGUAAAUGAUGCAAUCAGUAUCACAACCACAGUGGGUUGAGAAAUAAAUGACAUGUUGGUGACCUUGUCAGGAUAGAGGGGAGCCUACGCAUUCAUUUGAGAACUGGCAAAGAAAAGUUAAACCAGCGGAUCAUCAAUACAGCAAGUAUUUAUCUUCUGUGUAUUACAUAAUCUUUAUCCCACCAAAGCCAAAUGUGGUAAAAGUGAUAUAAGUGUCCCAGGUCAUUAAUGAAGCAUGAAUAAAUAAUAGUUGGUGGUCAUCGUGUUACAAUCCUGAGUGCAUGGAGACCAUCCUACCAGGAAAAGGUAACCCAAAGGACCUGUGCUUCCUGAUGGCUGGAGGCAGCCACACCUUUGACAAGGUGUCCCGUCUAGGGGGCUGCAGUAGCCUUCAGAGCUAUUUAUCAUUUUAUAGGAAGUUUGGGGACAGGAACGUAUUAGAGACAACUACAGCAAUGUAAUUAGAAAUUUCCCCACACAUCUGUAGGACAAAGGGCCACUUCAUCAACAAAUAAAACUCCAAAGGAAAACAUAUAGGGAACACGUGCAGAUUAACAGAGAAACAAACAACUUCAGUGUCUGCAUGUGAUCAUUCUGCUGAUUGUACAACUAAGUUUAAAAAUUAUAAGACUAUCAAACACCAGCCACAGUGUUAAUAUUUAAAUAAACUUUUAUUGUUUAUAGUGA
Molecule: long non-coding RNA, 1962 nt
Organism: Marmota monax (woodchuck)
Lineage: Eukaryota; Metazoa; Chordata; Mammalia; Rodentia; Sciuridae
Exons: 3
Source: RefSeq, a predicted model, not a curated record